This 1940-nucleotide long non-coding RNA is filed under the name Homo sapiens (human). RNAcentral's name for it is "HSALNT0407859". Lineage: Eukaryota; Metazoa; Chordata; Mammalia; Primates; Hominidae. The record is from RNAcentral.
GGAGCGGGAGUGGGAGUGCUCAGUCUCUCGGGUCGCCUGGAUAUUUAUGAAAAGGACGCCAGGGAAAGGGCUCCGCUGUAGACCGAAGGGAUAAGGGUUCGAUUCAGAAGGGAGCGUUAUUUUUAUCCCCUCUCCACAUAAUGGAACGUUUAAAUGGUUAAAUCAAGUACCUUGCAGGAGAGGGUGGGGUGGCCUUGAGAAUACACUCAAGGCCUCAGUACAUGCAGUCUGGAAGUGGGGGAAUCAAGAGCACCCUGUCUCUAGUACUGUCCUCAAUGAUAAGGUGAGGAAAGCCAAACCCAGGACUGGGAACAGGGCCUGGUCCAGAGCCAGGCGCUUGUUUAUUCUUGACUCUGCUCUCAAGGCGCUGAGGUUCCCAACCUGGACCAAGAAGUACAUAUUCAGGUUCAAAGGAUAAACCAAAACAAAACCUGAGCUCUCUCUCUAGAAUGAAGUGCCUGGUCCCAGUUCACCAUCUAAUAUUUAUGGAAAGCUUAUCAGGUACUUGGUGCUGGGGGCUAAGGGGCCCGCAAUGUGGUAAGUGAGCAGGGACUGUUGAUGUGUUGGAGGUGUGGAGCAGGGUGAGAAGAGGUGAGCAGUGUGUGUGUAGUGAGAGCAGAGAGGCCACACAGAGCCAAAUGCUGGGGGUAUAGACAAGGGAGCAACCAUGAGAGUUGAGUGUAACAGAAGCUACAGUCCCACUUCCUCCAGAGAGGAGGACCAGCCACUAACUCUUCUUAGUAGCAAUUAGGUGAGGCUGCACCAAAGACAGAACCACCGAGGUGGGCUCUGAAACAUGAGGAGCAGUCCACCAUGUCAAGGCAGGAAGGAAGGCACUCCAGGCAGAGGGAUCAGUCUGUGCCCAAGGCCCUUUGUCAUGAGAGCACAUGCUUGGUCGCUUCUGGCCAUGCCUAAUAAUCUGGCAGGGACAGAGCUCAUGGUCUCCAAGAGCACAUGGUAGCAGACAGGGCUGGAAGGUGUGGGGCCCUGAGAAUCAAGCUAAGGUGCUUCGACUGUAUACCCAAGGUCACGGGGACCACUCAGCAUGUUCAAGGAGGGAAGCAGUAUGAUGAGAACUUUAGAAUGAGUACAAAUUAAACAUCAAUGUGCAUGUAUAAGUGCACAUUUACAUGUACACGCAUGUACAAAACCAAGACAGGGCUGACAGAACACAAGGAAGAAAGUCAGAUGUGACCAAUUCAAAAAGAGUCUGAACAAUCCUUCCCUCUAUUCCUUUUCAUUCCAUAAAUAGGGGUCUCACGUUUACCGUGAGCCAGUGGGGCCAGAUGUUUAAAAAGAGAAAACCAUAGUGCCUUCCCUCAGGAUGCCUUCACUCUGCUAAAGCUCAGUCUGCCCCCACAGAGAACAGAAGUGUCAGCAGAGGACUGUAAGUGCUAUGUGAUUGGACGACGGUGGCCAUAGAAUUUCACCUGCCCAGCACGUAUUCUCUCAUCCUCUCCUCCUCUGCCUUCUUUGGGAGGGAGAAAUCAGAAGGAGUGGGGAUGCAGUUCAGAGAGCAGAGGAGAAGAGAAGAAAAGAAGGAAGAAGGAAGAGGACUAGGGUUGGGUGGGGGGGGAGGACACCAAUGGGAAGAGGGACAGAUCAACUCUAUACACAAAAGUAAAUCAAAACACCAAAAACAGGGGUCUAUGUAAAGAAGCCUCUUCCCGUGAAUUGCUCGUUGCAUAGCUGCAGGGAGGGUGUUUAGGGGCAUAGAGAAUGAAAACAUACCUGUAUUUUGGUGUAGGGAAAUUGUUUCUGUCAAUUCACACCGUCCACACACCACCUCCCACCCCAACCCCGCCACUACCAAAUUCCUCUAAAUAAAAAUAAUUAUGAGAUACAGGCCAACAAAAACGUCAGCGUUAGGCUGUUAUUUAGAGAGAAUUGGAAAGCGUUUGAAUGUGGCCCUGUUGUUUAAUAAACGAUAACAAUGAUUA